GCUGUCAUAGCUUCCGCAUUAUAAAAGCAUCGCUUUUGUUUCAGCAGUGGAGUAGUAGAGGCCAAUGGCACAGGAUAUGAGAGUAUCAAUUCCGAUGAUAAACUAGAUGUCAGUAAACGGUGGAAGCUUUGAACACAGCAAUGAAUGGUGCUAGCUUUGUCGUUGCUUUGAUUGGCUGCUGGGAAUUAGCUUACUGGGCUAAAUCGCUGCAUUGUGGUUGUCACGAUAUCCAGAUGGAUUAGCUUGAUGCAUGAAUAUGAGGCUAAAAAGUUUAGGAUGGAUGAGCUGCUGUUAAGGUAAUCAACGUGAACCAACUCAUCAGCCCCCAAGUGCAGUAGCCUGAUUAAAGGAUGUUUAUAUAUUGCUCCCAGCAGUGGUAGUCAAGAUUCAGCGUGACAUAUUUCAGCAAGGAAGAGGUUAGCUGCUGGAAUUAUGGCCUAAUUUCCAGGCAGAAGGUUCAGACCUUACCAGAUCUAGAAGAAAUUCAUCAACUAGUGAUGAGGUUAU
Long non-coding RNA from Rosa chinensis, 507 nucleotides. RefSeq lists it as uncharacterized. Lineage: Eukaryota; Viridiplantae; Streptophyta; Magnoliopsida; Rosales; Rosaceae. The record is from RefSeq and is a predicted model, not a curated record. The transcript has 5 exons.